RNAcentral lists this long non-coding RNA (1859 nucleotides) under Citrus maxima (pomelo). RNAcentral's name for it is "long non-coding RNA (CMAX_LNC002886)". Lineage: Eukaryota; Viridiplantae; Streptophyta; Magnoliopsida; Sapindales; Rutaceae. The record is from RNAcentral.
AUUCUACACCUACCAAUAAACAACAUGACGUUAUAUUUAAAAAUCUAUCAACUUACUUUUAGUGAAAAUUUGACUUCGACUUUUCAAAUUUUGUAUGUAGAGAAUUCAAUCAAUGUCGAGUUUAACAAAUAGAAAUUGGGAAAAAAUAUCUUUUAUAAAAUAAUAAAAAAGGUUCAAAAAUAAAUUUAACUAUUUAUAAUUAAAUAAUUGACAGUUGACGUUCUAUUUUUCUACGAUUUUUAUUAUUCUUAAAUUAAGUUCGAUUGGAUUAAAUUCUGGAUUAACAUGAAACUAAUUCAACACAAUCAUUAAUUGAGUUAGAAAAAAUUGACCGCAACCAGUCCAUUAUAAGUUAUAACCCAACUAAUCCAUCUAAAUUUCAUCCGAAAAAAUUGACUUAGAUUGAUCCCUUGCAUUAGAUUAAUGUUUUCGCACUAUUAGCCAAAUUUACAUGGAAACUCAUCAUUGAUAAAUUGACACGUGGCAUUUAUUGAUAGACAAUAUUCAGUUUUUGUAUCCUAAUUGUAAUAUUUAAUUAAUGAAAAUAUCACUAUCACUUGAGAAGAAAACAUCUUUGAGAUAUUAUUAUUAUUACUUGAAAAAUAUUAGUACUACAUUGAAUUGUGAAUGACUCAUUUAUCCAGAUUCUUCGUUUCCUCGUCGUCACGACGGAUGAAAACCUGAGGACAGACAAUUCCUGCUGGGCAUUCAAGUUUUAUAUUAGUUUUAAAUAAAAAGCGCCAGACAUUAAAACACCUCUCUGGCCUCUGCAACCAACAUCAACGGCUCCGGCUAUCAGAACUGCUUUAAAAUAGAAUAUGAUUAUAAUAUAUAUCCUUUAUUAUUAUUUAUCAACUUUACUGUGAGUAUCUAUAAUUUAUACUCUUAUUUUAAAAUAAUUCCAAAAUAACCAUUACCACCUUUAUAUUAUACAUAUUUUAACAGGAUUUCAGUUCAUCCAGGGGAUGAAACUGUGCAAGUGUGCAACAGCGCAUGAACCCUUUUGCUUUUCAAGCAAUUGUUACUCAUAAAAUUAUGUGAGAAGAAGACUUGGCAACACUGUCUUCUGUACAUCUAGUCUAUAAAAUUUUGAAACACAGCGACAUGCUUUCAUUAGAUGGUAACAUUAGGACUGCAUUCUCUUUGCUCGAUAUUAAUAUAUUAACAACAAGGCAAACCCUAUCUUACAUGCAUGUAAGAUACAUCCCCCUCACAUGAAUAGUGUAUGUGUGGGACCCACACACUAUUCAUGUGAGAGGAAUGUAUCUUACAUGCAUGUAAGAUAGAAGGACCCUAACAACAAUACUAUCAUAGCAUUCUUACCUGUGGUCAUGGCUCUGCUUGUACAGUUUGGACAACCUGCAAAAUAUAUACUCCUAUGAAAAGGCCUAGAUAUGCAACUAGGGCAGCUGCCAGCCAUUUAGGUAUGUAAAUACUAAAUAGCUUGCACUGACUAGAAUCAUUUUUUUUAUUGAAGCAUCACGUCACUAGGAGCAUAUCCCUAACAAACCGCAAGUUGUACCAUAAUCUGUCUCAUACUUGGAAGCCACCACAACACCCGCAAAGUGUAGUAAGACGAUGACAGUAAUGUACAUGAAAUCCAAAUUUAGAUCAUAGUUUUGUUUUUUUAUAUCUAAAAUAAAUAAAAAAGUACAAACAUCUAAAUGAUAUAUUUAUUUUUUUUAAUAUAUGAAUAUAAAUGACAUCUUACUUAUUUUUAUAAAUAAAAAGCAUCUUAACCAUAAUUAUUUAACAUUUAUGUACUUACAAAUAAAUAAAUAAAAAAGUAACUAAGUUUUACUAUUUAGAAAAUAAGUAUAUUUUACACAAAUAUUUUUAGAAUACAAGAAUUACUUCUU